CCUCUUUCCCUUUUCAGCAUUACCACCUAUAUCAGCCUUGCCGUCUUCGGGCGGCUAUGGCGAUAAACGGGCGAUGAAAUAAGCCUAUUGGACCCGGGGGCGGUACCCGGCGCCUCCACCAAAAACCGGUGUUCACACCGGCUUUUGAUGGGGGCGAAAUAGGAUCGACAAGGGUGUAAAGAUCGACUUUUUGCUCGGCAUUGUACCACCGUUAUCGGGCUAAACUUGUAGUUGCAAACGACAACUAUGCGGAAGCUCGUCUCGCUGCUUAAUCGCAGUGUGACACUUCAAAUCAAGCCCUUCCGGUUCGCACCGUAAGGCGGGGUUCGGAGGUACCUGGCAACAGAAACCUCCACU
RNAcentral lists this transfer-messenger RNA (357 nucleotides) under Rhizobium sp. CFBP 8762. It matches the Rfam family "Alphaproteobacteria transfer-messenger RNA". Rfam says of the family: Bacterial tmRNA, also known as 10Sa RNA or SsrA, is named for its dual tRNA and mRNA-like properties. Its role is to liberate the mRNA from a stalled ribosome. Lineage: Bacteria; Pseudomonadati; Pseudomonadota; Alphaproteobacteria; Hyphomicrobiales; Rhizobiaceae. The record is from RNAcentral.